Molecule: long non-coding RNA, 414 nt
Organism: Carassius gibelio (silver crucian carp)
Lineage: Eukaryota; Metazoa; Chordata; Actinopteri; Cypriniformes; Cyprinidae
Exons: 3
Source: RefSeq, a predicted model, not a curated record
UUGAGAAGGACCACAAGAAGCGUCGUGUGCUCAUUAUCAUUUUCAAAGUAAAGUACAUAAUAACACGUAAUCUUCCUGCUUGUAACAUUAUAUAGAAAUUACGUUCACGCUCCCAGUGGUUGCUUUCCAACGAACUGAACGGAGAACACGCACAGUGUGAGUUCACAAAGCAGAUUUCAAAAGUUAUAUGGAGCCCAGUGUUACGGAAGAGGGGUUUGCAAUGCUUAAUUUGACACUCAGAAAAACGGCACAACGGCCAGACGGAAGAGUCUGAUGAAAGAGAGAUUGGUGUAACUCCAGGUUUUGCCGUCUGCAAAGGUUCUGGAGACUAUGCGUCCCUGGCUGUCAUAUUCUACCCUCUCGACUGUGGGGCCUCUCUGAAUGCUUGUGACCUGACCAGUGCCAGAAUAGGUG